CUAGUCGCACGAGUUCAGACUCGUGGCAGAUAGCUCAGUAACACGUGGCCAAACUACCCUGUCGAUCGGGACACCCUCGGGAAACUGAGGCUAAUCCCGGAUACGGCUCGCUGCCUGGAGUUGGCGCGAGCUCGAAACGUUCAGGCGCGACAGGAUGUGGCUGCGGCCGAUUAGGUAGACGGUGGGGUAACGGCCCACCGUGCCGAUAAUCGGUACGGGUUGUGAAAGCAAGAGCCCGGAGACGGAAUCUGAGACAAGAUUCCGGGCCCUACGGGGCGCAGCAGGCGCGAAACCUUUACACUGCACGCGAGUGCGAUAGGGGGACUCCAAGUGCGAGGGCAUACAGUCCUCGCUUUUCACCACCGUAAGGAGGUGGUAGAAUAAGUGCUGGGCAAGACCGGUGCCAGCCGCCGCGGUAAUACCGGCAGCACGAGUGAUGACCGCUAUUAUUGGGCCUAAAGCGUCCGUAGCCGGCCGGGCAAGUCCAUCGGGAAAUCCGCACGCCUAACGUGCGGGCGUCCGGUGGAAACUGCUUGGCUUGGGACCGGAAGAUCCAGAGGGUACGUCUGGGGUAGGAGUGAAAUCCCGUAAUCCUGGACGGACCACCGGUGGCGAAAGCGCUCUGGAAAGACGGAUCCGACGGUGAGGGACGAAAGCUUGGGUCACGAACCGGAUUAGAUACCCGGGUAGUCCAAGCUGUAAACGAUGUCUGCUAGGUGUGGCACAGGCUACGAGCCUGUGCUGUGCCGUAGGGAAGCCGUGAAGCAGACCGCCUGGGAAGUACGUCUGCAAGGAUGAA
RNAcentral lists this ribosomal RNA (799 nucleotides) under Halovivax asiaticus. RNAcentral describes it as "bacterial SSU rRNA". It matches the Rfam family "Archaeal small subunit ribosomal RNA", at positions 54 to 853 of the family's 1478-position model. The record is from RNAcentral. Lineage: Archaea; Methanobacteriati; Methanobacteriota; Halobacteria; Halobacteriales; Natrialbaceae.